AUGGUAAAGUUAACUCCCAUGUGUUAUUUCUUUAGGAUGGAGCAGAGCCCCAACUUUCCACUGAGUUUCCUGAGACCGCCAUGUACACGAACCAAGACAAAGACCCAACGCGCUCCCAAAGCAUUUCCCAGGAUGCAGCAGAGCCCCAACUUUCCACUGAGUUUCCUGAGACCGCCAUGUCCACGAACCAAGACAAAGACUCAACGCGCUCCCAAAGCAUUUCCCAGAUCGCUGCACAUCACUAAUGCACACUGCGUCCAUACAGGAGCCUCGUUUGCUUGUGUUCACCGAUGUGUACGUGUGGAUUUCCCGGAGAGCAGCGGCGGCAGUGAAAUAAUGGCACAUAACUCAC
RNAcentral lists this long non-coding RNA (352 nucleotides) under Neogobius melanostomus (round goby). Its description in RNAcentral is "lncRNA (ENSNMLG00000012493.1)". The record is from RNAcentral. Lineage: Eukaryota; Metazoa; Chordata; Actinopteri; Gobiiformes; Gobiidae.